GGUCCAGACUUUGAUCAUGGCUCAGGAUGAACGCUAGCUACAGGCUUAACACAUGCAAGUCGAGGGGCAGCGGGAUUGAAGCUUGCUUCAAUUGCCGGCGACCGGCGCACGGGUGAGUAACGCGUAUCCAACCUUCCGUACACUCAGGGAUAGCCUUUCGAAAGAAAGAUUAAUACCUGAUGGUAUGAUGAGAUUGCAUGAUAGCAUCAUUAAAGAUUUAUCGGUGUACGAUGGGGAUGCGUUCCAUUAGGUAGUAGGCGGGGUAACGGCCCACCUAGCCGACGAUGGAUAGGGGUUCUGAGAGGAAGGUCCCCCACAUUGGAACUGAGACACGGUCCAAACUCCUACGGGAGGCAGCAGUGAGGAAUAUUGGUCAAUGGACGAGAGUCUGAACCAGCCAAGUAGCGUGAAGGAUGAAGGUCCUACGGAUUGUAAACUUCUUUUAUAAGGGAAUAAACCCUUCCACGUGUGGGAGCUUGUAUGUACCUUAUGAAUAAGCAUCGGCUAACUCCGUGCCAGCAGCCGCGGUAAUACGGAGGAUGCGAGCGUUAUCCGGAUUUAUUGGGUUUAAAGGGAGCGCAGACGGGUCGUUAAGUCAGCUGUGAAAGUUUGGGGCUCAACCUUAAAAUUGCAGUUGAUACUGGCGUCCUUGAGUGCGGUUGAGGUGUGCGGAAUUCGUGGUGUAGCGGUGAAAUGCUUAGAUAUCACGAAGAACUCCGAUUGCGAAGGCAGCACACUAAGCCGUAACUGACGUUCAUGCUCGAAAGUGUGGGUAUCAAACAGGAUUAGAUACCCUGGUAGUCCACACGGUAAACGAUGGAUACUCGCUGUUGGCGAUAUACUGUCAGCGGCUUAGCGAAAGCGUUAAGUAUCCCACCUGGGGAGUACGCCGGCAAGGGUGCAACUCAAAUGAAUUGACGG
Molecule: ribosomal RNA, 921 nt
Filed under: uncultured Bacteroidota bacterium
Lineage: Bacteria; Pseudomonadati; Bacteroidota
Description: bacterial SSU rRNA
Rfam family: Bacterial small subunit ribosomal RNA
Source: RNAcentral